This 105-nucleotide non-coding RNA is filed under the name Romboutsia ilealis. RNAcentral describes it as "SAM riboswitch aptamer (S box leader)". It matches the Rfam family "SAM riboswitch aptamer (S box leader)". Rfam says of the family: The SAM riboswitch is found upstream of a number of genes which code for proteins involved in methionine or cysteine biosynthesis in Gram-positive bacteria. The record is from Rfam by way of RNAcentral. Lineage: Bacteria; Bacillati; Bacillota; Clostridia; Peptostreptococcales; Peptostreptococcaceae.
ACCUUAUCAAGAGAGGCGGAGGGAUAGGCCCUGUGAAGCCCAGCAACCACCCAUUAGGGAAAAGGUGCUAAGUCCUACAAGAUUUUAUAUCUUGAGAGAUGAGGU